RNAcentral lists this microRNA precursor (238 nucleotides) under Amborella trichopoda. RNAcentral describes it as "MIR8562 microRNA precursor family". It matches the Rfam family "MIR8562 microRNA precursor family". The record is from Rfam by way of RNAcentral. Lineage: Eukaryota; Viridiplantae; Streptophyta; Magnoliopsida; Amborellales; Amborellaceae.
UUUUCUACAAAUCGGAAUGACUUGAAAUUUGGAGUGUGUGUUCAUCAAAAAUAGGCAAAUCUAAGAAAAAUAUCAAAAACAUAUUUUACAUAAAAAAUGUUAACCAAAAUACCCCCGAAAAGUUUCAGGGGUAUUUUGGUCAAUUUGUUUUUCAUGGAUUUUUUUUAUAUUUUUAUUAGGUGUGCCUCACUAAGAUGUACACAUGCUCCAAAUUUCAAUCAUUCCGAUUUGUAGAAAA